GGGCCUGUAGCUCAACGGUUAGAGCCGGCCGCUCAUAACGGUCUGGUUGGGGGGUUCAAGUCCCUCCAGGCCCACCA
RNAcentral lists this transfer RNA (77 nucleotides) under Microvirga sp. KLBC 81. Its description in RNAcentral is "tRNA-Met". It matches the Rfam family "tRNA". From Rfam's summary of the family: Transfer RNA (tRNA) molecules are approximately 80 nucleotides in length. The record is from RNAcentral. Lineage: Bacteria; Pseudomonadati; Pseudomonadota; Alphaproteobacteria; Hyphomicrobiales; Methylobacteriaceae.